Molecule: ribosomal RNA, 663 nt
Filed under: Cuervea isangiensis
Lineage: Eukaryota; Viridiplantae; Streptophyta; Magnoliopsida; Celastrales; Celastraceae
Description: eukaryotic LSU rRNA
Rfam family: 5.8S ribosomal RNA (bases 238-393)
Source: RNAcentral
AACCUACAAGACAGAAUGACCCGUGAAUCUGUGAGAAAUAACUCGGGAGACGUGCCCCAGGCGCUUUCUCCCGGAGUCCUUGGCGAAGGGUGCGGUUGAAAUCGACAUCCUUGGCCACGGGCAAAACUCUAACAAAACCCCGGCGCGAGUUGCGCCAAGGAAAAUGAAGAAAGAUGCGCUCCCCUUGUCCCGGAAACGGCGCUGGGGGAGUCACAUCGUCGUUAUCGUAUUUGAAACGACUCUCGGCAACGGAUAUCUCGGCUCUCGCAUCGAUGAAGAACGUAGCGAAAUGCGAUACUUGGUGUGAAUUGCAGAAUCCCGUGAACCAUCGAGUCUUUGAACGCAAGUUGCGCCCGAAGCCGUCAGGCCGAGGGCACGUCUGCCUGGGUGUCACGAAAAGUCGUCCAAUAUCCCUCCCUCCCCCCCCCGGCCCUUUGCAUAAAUAGGAGUGGGGGCGAGAGCAGGGGGGAUGACGGCGGAUACUGGCCUCCCGUGCGCUCGUUUGCGCGGUUGGCCCAAAAGUUAGGCCUCGACCUGCCCCGCAAGGCGGCCACGACGCGCGGUGGUUGAAAGCGCACGCUCUCCUCGAACACCGUCGUGGGCCAGCCUUGUUUGUGGGAAAGCCAAAGACCCCGACGCGGAGCGUCAUAACGGAGCGACCCC